AGAGGGGGAUAACGAUUGGAAACGAUCGCUAAUACCGCAUGACAUAGCGGAACCGCAUGGUUUUGUUAUCAAAGAUUUUAUCGCUGAUAGAUGGGCUCGCGUCCGAUUAGAUAGUUGGUGGGGUAACGGCCUACCAAGUCGACGAUCGGUAGCCGGACUGAGAGGUCGAACGGCCACAUUGGGACUGAGACACGGCCCAGACUCCUACGGGAGGCAGCAGUGGGGGAUAUUGCACGAUGGGGGAAACCCUGAUGCAGCGACGCCGCGUGAGGGAAGACGGUCCUCUGGAUUGUAAACCUCUGUCUUCGGGGACGAAACGAGACGGUACCCGAGGAGGAAGCCACGGCUAACUACGUGCCAGCAGCCGCGGUAAUACGUAGGUGGCAAGCGUUGUCCGGAAUUACUGGGUGUAAAGGGAGCGUAGGCGGGCAGGCAAGUCAGGCGUGAAAUAUAUCGGCUCAACCGGUAACGGCGCUUGAAACUGCAGGUCUUGAGUGAAGUAGAGGUUGGCGGAAUUCCUAGUGUAGCGGUGAAAUGCGUAGAUAUUAGGAGGAACACCAGUGGCGA
RNAcentral lists this ribosomal RNA (567 nucleotides) under uncultured bacterium. RNAcentral describes it as "bacterial SSU rRNA". It matches the Rfam family "Bacterial small subunit ribosomal RNA", at positions 135 to 718 of the family's 1533-position model. The record is from RNAcentral.